RNAcentral lists this ribosomal RNA (792 nucleotides) under uncultured bacterium. Its description in RNAcentral is "bacterial SSU rRNA". It matches the Rfam family "Bacterial small subunit ribosomal RNA", at positions 8 to 796 of the family's 1533-position model. The record is from RNAcentral.
AGAGUUUGAUCAUGGCUCAGAUUGAACGCUGGCGGCAUGCCUUACACAUGCAAGUCGAACGGUAACGCGGGGCAACCUGGCGACGAGUGGCGAACGGGUGAGUAAUGUAUCGGAACGUGCCCAGUAGUGGGGGGAUAGCCCGGCGAAAGCCGGAUUAAUACCGCAUACGACCUACGGGUGAAAGAGGGGGAUCGCAAGACCUCUCGCUAUUGGAGCGGCCGAUAUCAGAUUAGGUAGUUGGUGGGGUAAAGGCCUACCAAGCCGACGAUCUGUAGCUGGUCUGAGAGGACGACCAGCCACACUGGGACUGAGACACGGCCCAGACUCCUACGGGAGGCAGCAGUGGGGAAUUUUGGACAAUGGGCGCAAGCCUGAUCCAGCCAUGCCGCGUGCGGGAAGAAGGCCUUCGGGUUGUAAACCGCUUUUGUCAGGGAAGAAAUCUUUCGGGUUAAUACCCUGGAGGGAUGACGGUACCUGAAGAAUAAGCACCGGCUAACUACGUGCCAGCAGCCGCGGUAAUACGUAGGGUGCAAGCGUUAAUCGGAAUUACUGGGCGUAAAGCGUGCGCAGGCGGUUGUGUAAGACAGAUGUGAAAUCCCCGGGCUCAACCUGGGAACUGCAUUUGUGACUGCACAGCUGGAGUGCGGCAGAGGGGGAUGGAAUUCCGCGUGUAGCAGUGAAAUGCGUAGAUAUGCGGAGGAACACCGAUGGCGAAGGCAAUCCCCUGGGCCUGCACUGACGCUCAUGCACGAAAGCGUGGGGAGCAAACAGGAUUAGAUACCCUAGUAGUCC